CUUGACCCAUUACCCAAGUUUGGGGCGGUGCCUGCGGCUACAGGACAUACUAACCGGGCAGCUACACAGUGAUUAAAGCAAUAAAUAUAUUUUACAUAUCGCGGCACCAAUAUUCGUGGGUGCGAUUAUCGUCUUGCCUUCUCCACGAGUGAGUAGAUUGAUUCACAAUGGCUAGUAGAAAUCGUGUUCCUCGGGAGGCCCUUGACAAUCGUCGGGGAUAUCACCCAUAUCACCCACAAGGACAUGUUGGUCGUGGUCCUUUGCCACCCCACCCUGCUUUAUUGGAGGAAGAACUUGAAAUCCAGCAUCUUGAAAUCCGGAGGCUUUUCGGUGAAAAUAGGAGGAUGGUUGAUGAUCGAAUAGCAAUGCAGCAAGAGUUGGGGGCUGCUAAAGAAGAACUUAGUCGUAUGAAUUUCGUCAUCAGUGAGAUUCGUGCAGAUCAAGAACGUCAUUCAAGGGAGCUUAUUGAGAGAGGCCAGAAGCUAGAAGCUGAACUUCAUGCUACUGAGCCUUUAAAAAAUGAGGCAGCCCAACUCCGUUCUGAAGUUAAAAAGCUGAAUUCUGUUAAUCAGAAUCUAUCUGUGCAAGUGAAAACUCUUACAAAAGACCUUGAGAAAUUGCAAAAAGAUAACCAGCAGAUUCCACUUUUGAGGGCCGAGGUUGAUGGACUGCACCAGGAACUUAUGCGAGCCAGAACUGCUUUUGAUUAUGAAAAGAAGGCAAACAUCGAACUAAUGGAGCAGAGACAAGCAAUGGAGAAGAAUUUGGUGUCCAUGGCACGUGAAGUGGAAAAGCUUCGCGCUGAACAUCCAAAUGCUGAUGUUAGACCAUGGGCUGCUGGUUGGUGUCGGUGGUGAUCAGAAAUGCUUGCCGGAAGUGGAACUUGCAGGUGUAUUGCUUUUUAGAAGUUGUGCAGUAAGGAUUGGUGUUUCUAUCUAAAGUGGGUAACUGUUCUACUUGGGAGUAUGCAAGACAAUGUUUCUAGGAAGAUGCAUUCUGGUAUAGUAUGCUAAAUAGGUAAUAAAACAGUUGCUUUAUUGUUUAAUUUGCGGGCUUUAAGCAUACAACCAACCCUUAUGAUGCCAUACUACAGUCAGCAUGUCGAGUGCAAGAUUGGCAGCUACACUGUUACAACAGAUGAAUUGACCUGUAAAAAUCAACUAUAGUGAAUUAUAAGCGUUUCUCUUGUUAUCAUCCACCUUCUCUAUGCCCUCCGAUUAUGAUAGAACAGUAGUCAAGUUGUGCUGCUAUCUUCGUGCCGCGGCAAAUUGUUUCUUGUGGCUAUUUUUUUUGUACACAUAUUGCUCCUUAUGCAACAGUAUCAGGUUGGAGUGUUGAAUGGAAGGAUGAAGGGCAUGCACUUGCCAUUUGAAGGCUGACGACUACCUGACUUCUAACGAUCAUCAUAGGCAAGAAUUUUGUCUCUGCUAUUUGGAUUUAAUGGCUCCUAAUAUAUUGUUUACUGGUGCAUAAAUAUGAUAACAAUUUCUCUAUUUAAAAAAACAAAUAAAAUAGAUUAAUUCCUGACCUGUUUCUGUUUUUUGUCAUGCUUCUAUACUUUGUUUCGCCUAAUGCGAUGAUGUGAUCUGGAUUAAUGUUGAAUUAACUAAUUCCUAAAUAGUUGGUCAAAUUGUAUGAUGAAUAUCAGUUUUGAGCUUAAAUAUGGCAAGUGAUACUUAUCCAGCAAUGAGUUCUAUAGUAGGCUCCCCAAAUUUUCGUGUACAAAUAAAGAUGAAGUAACUGAGAACAGUAUGAACUAAUACUUUUAAUGUAUCAAUGUAUAUGGAAGAAUAGUAAAACACUAUGGAUAUACUAUUUACUAUUAGUUGGUCAUUUGGACCAGAAUAAUAUAACUGAAGGCUUGAAGCAUAUAGAUAUAAAUAGAUUGACUGGAGAUAGAAAUAGACAAACAACAGGUCAUGGAAAAACAGUGAAUUCUGGUAUCCUUUCAACUUGAGUUUAAGUUGUCGCACUUUGAAUGCUUCUUACAAUGAAAUUUCACACUAGGACGAGAGCAAAGCCUAAGGUGAGCUACUCAUGUUUUUUCACUACAAGAAAUUUUUGAACCACCAACAUGUAUAGCAAACUACAAAUCACAGGAAAACUGGUAUUUUAUCUUUUAGAUCCUAUUUUAUGCAGAGUGAAAUUCUGAUAUCCUUUGAACUUGAGUUCUGGUUGUCACACUUUGUAUGCUUUUUACAUUGACAGUCUGACACUACAAUAGGAGUCGAGCCAAAGUGAGCUACUUUCCUUCUGAUGUCUUCAUGUACAAGAUUUUGGAAUGAACCACCAACUCGUUUAAUUGAACAAGCUACAAAUUACAAGAAAACUGGUAGUUUAUAUUCUAGAUUCUAUUUUUUUGUAUAGUGGCAAGGUAUAUAUAAAGCUUCCGAUAUGAUAUUUGUUGCAUUCAAAAAUUAAAGCUGAUGUCCCAUUAUUGUCCCUCCUCCCGUCAGCAAGGGUCCCUCUUAUAUACGCUGAGUUUCUUAUGGCCUUUAAUCUGAUGCUGUGGUGUAGUUUGCAGGGUAAAGUUUAAGUUACUACUAUUAGGAACUAUUGGAAUUAAUGAACCAUGCGGUGGGGUUCAAAAAUGUCUUGUUUAAAUCUGAUGAGAAUUGCGUUGCGUUUGAGUGGGAACUGUAGUAUCAUUGUAAACAGUAGACACAUGUUUAUUGUUUUGUAUGAUUUUAGGCAUUUGUAGAGAAUAUACAUGACGUCUUAAAUAGGGAUAUAGAAUAGGUUUGCAAUUUAUAUGAUUAUUAGUUAUGAACAAAUCAGCUGAAGUUCCGAAUUGUGAAGCGGAUAUGCGUUGUUUGCAGUCAGUUAUGUAUAGAAGGAAAAUCUACUCGUCACCCCUGUUGCUGAUAGGUCACAGUUAUGGAGGUAGAAUGCAAGUAUGCAACUACUGGCUUGGUGAAAUUUUCAAUGUGCCAAUGUGAACGUGUAGCAUCAUGCCACUCAUAAUAAAGCACUAGUUAACUUGGAGUUAGUGAGCCACGGAAGUUAAUUGAAGCAUCCAUUUGUUUCAACUUACGCAUGGAAAAGUCAUCCAAGCAUCUUUUAAGUUUUUUAAUGGAGUCUGUGAACUCGAUUGGUUUUCUCACAAUUUAUUCAAGUUCUGAACUGUGACCUUGAAUGAUUUCCUCACGACCUAUUCAAGUUUUGAGAGAAAAAUGUAAUAUGGAGAAUUGUACCUUAGAAAUCCAGAAGUGACAAUAGAUUUAGCAGCUCCUUGCGAAGUAUAGUAGCAAGACCCCAGAACUUUACUUCAGCAGAAGCCAGAAGGAAUAAACACAUUGACCUGAUUGUUUGCUGUGUAGGGUCUAAAGUAGCGGGUGCUUGCAUGGUUGCAAGAAUAGUUAACACUUAAUGAUGUUCCUUGUGUAGGGUCUAAAGAUGUAGCGAGUGCUUGCGUAGGUGCGGGAAUAGUUGAAAAAUGAUUAGGCUCUGUGAUCUUUGUCGAUUUGAUAUUAGUUAGAGGGAUGGUGGAAAGAAGACAAAACUUGGAUUUGCCUAUUUAGUCCGGUCACAUAUACUGUGAAAGUGGGAAAGUGUCUGUUCAAAGAUGUUAAUACAUUAUUGGAUAUGGUUUGGACAAAUAUUUAUCUUUUAUAUGGAGAUAAAUUGACAGGGAUGGUGGACUCCUUGUCUGACUAUAUAAUGCAAUUACUUCUGCCUUGUCCCAGCAAUGGAAUUCACUAUGAGCUCCACAGAGACAGAAACACGAAUUCAAAGAUGCUAGCUGGCAGCUUCUGUAGAGCAAGGGGUGGAAUCAGAAUUAACCACCUCUGGCUCUGUGGCAUAAAAGUACACUGAAGGAUGUAGAAGCAUCUUGUGGAUAAACUUAGAAGCAUCUUGUGGAUAAACUUUAUUUGAAGCACAAAUUACGUUGCCACUAUGCACUUAUGUGGUGCAAGUUGGAGGUAGAAAUUUGGAUCUUCUCCCUCUCAUUGGUGCUUUUGUGUCCGGAAAAUAGCCAUUGUGUUCAACAAGGUCUUCGACGAGGCCGUCCUCCCUGACGCUCAGUGGAUCCAAUCAGCAUGUACGUGUCAUCAACUAUAAGAAAUCACAAUAAACGGCAAAUUAAUAAGGUUUGAAUUACCAUGUCUCUGCAUUGGUAUUAUCCCAUUACUUACUAAAAAUAAUAAGGAGAGUAACUGAUAAUUAUGUAAAAAUUUGAUUAUUAUACCUAUCAUGACUUUGGAAUGGAUAUAAAUCAUGAAUCUCCUCUGCAUUUGAGCGUUCCAGUACUGUGUUGCAUGAUGAGGAGAUGAUGGAGGAAUGAACUCUCCUUGUCUCUUUUCUUCCCGGUUAGCAAGGCAGAAAAAGUUUAAGUAAUCUUUUGGAUGGCCUGAUUCGCCACUGUCUUGUAAAGCUUCACCUACUAGCUUAAACAUCAUCUUCAUUGUUUCCCUGGUCCAGUGUAGUAUGUCUUGUACAGUUUCACUCUCUGGAACUCCUUCUGGCCACAUUGGUAUGAGAAUGUAAACUGCGAACCUUUCCUUUGUUUUAAUCUUGCUAGCUAUCUUGAGGGCUAUCUCGACUGGUAUUAAGUUUGUGCAGCCACAUUGCUUAUCUUUCUCCCACAAGUGGCAUCCUCCAAUAAAGUAUUGGUUUUCGAUGUAUAUAAAUUUCUCAGCGCGCCUGAUUGCUUCUACAUAAGCUUCAUGGAUGCUUCUCUCAACUCGAAAGUUUAUAUUUGCCGAGAUGUGAUCAAUUGAUCGAAAGACUUGGACUUUCCAGUUCUUUUCAGCUGUGGUAGUUAUUGAAUUUGGUUGUUGAGAAAGUUCUUUUAUAGAGUUUAGGGGGACUAGCAAAGAAGGGUCACAUUGCUUUGUCCACCUUUGCUCAAAAUUUGUCAUCACAUCCCUUGCAGCCUCCCCGGAAAUACAGGCAUGAACAUCAUGCCAUGGCUCCCUUGGUCCACCUUUAUGAAGGCUAGCGCCGGAAAGGUUUAUUUGGUAGAAGUCUUGGGAAUGAAAUUCAGUAUUGAGUGUUCGAAAUAAGGAGUGUUCCUCUGUAUCAUAUCGGCCGUCACAAAGAUCUAAGCCUCCAAUAAAACUUAUGAUUUCUCGAUUACUUGAAAACAGCUGUCCUCUACUGUCGACAGUUAUGGUUUUCUGAUGGUGGGCAAACAUAGUGGGGAAUUUGUUGUGCAACCUGGGGCAUAAUUUGCAUAUAACCUUGGUGUGUUUAAAGUAGGCAUAUGCAUCUUCAUCAUGUGUUCUCAUCACUCCUGAGUUCUUGAUUAUAGGUAAUGAUGUUUCAUCAUCCCAAAGCAUGAUUCUCACAGCAACACCUUCUUCUGCUUUCCUUUUCAACAGUUCACCAAGUCUUACUCCUCGUGCAUGUGGAAUUUCUGUGUGAGAAUCGCGAACCUACACAUUUUACCCUUAUUUCUCAGACUUGAGAUGUGAAAAGAACUGAAGGGAAAUAGAUUGUUUUCACUUACCAGUACCAACUUGGGAUUGAAAGACCAUCCUGCUAUGUAGACCAAAUAUUUUGCAUCAUCGAUGGCUUUAUAAACAUCUUCCCACAAUUUUCUUGGCGUGCCACAAAGAUGGGCCGGGGGUUGAAAUGUAGAGUGAUGAUGAGCAUCUUGAUAUAGUGUGAUGCUGCAGUUGGAUCUCUGCGGAAACGUGGCAUUCUUCUGUCCGUUGAACCCGCCAUUAUCAAAGCGGGAAAAAACCAUUGAUUAAACUCUCUUUAGUUAAAAUCUGGUGUGCAGGGAUGCAGAUUUUUCCUAAGGUGGAGCAUUUGGUCUUUAAGGAGAUUGUAAUUGUCGCGUCAGGCAGAUGGGCACAAAGAAUAUAUAAGAUGAGCCUGGAACAAAUUAAAACAUGCACGAGCCUGUGCAUGAUUUGGUAGAUCAAGCCAGUGGUGUCUAUCUGCGACUAUAUCACUAAGGUUUGCUCCCAAGUGCAAGUGUCAGCCACGGUUUAAGGUUUCACUUGUGAUUCAUAUUUGUAUUUUAGUCAUUAAAAUUGCUGGAGAUCCUAAAAUAAAUCCCGAAUCCUUGCGACAAAUUUAAAUUGGUUCGGCCUCGAUUGUCUGUACUCGUACUUGGCCGAAAGAAUCCAAGUGUUCAAGAAUAUUUUUUCCUAUUAUAAAUAUAAAAGAGUACAGGGAACUCAAACUAACAAUAGAACAUCCGUGAAAUUGUAAUGCUAUAUAGCAACCAUCACUAUGUUUUGUUGAUA
Molecule: RNA transcript, 6200 nt
Organism: Daucus carota subsp. sativus
Lineage: Eukaryota; Viridiplantae; Streptophyta; Magnoliopsida; Apiales; Apiaceae
Gene name: protein FLX-like 3
Exons: 9
Source: RefSeq, a predicted model, not a curated record